CGUACACUCCUGCGGGAGGCAGCAGUGGGGAAUAUUGCACAAUGGGCGCAAGCCUGAUGCAGCCAUGCCGCGUGUAUGAAGAAGGCCUUCGGGUUGUAAAGUACUUUCAGCGGGGAGGAAGGCGAUAAGGUUAAUAACCUUGUCGAUUGACGUUACCCGCAGAAGAAGCACCGGCUAACUCCGUGCCAGCAGCCGCGGUAAUACGGAGGGUGCAAGCGUUAAUCGGAAUUACUGGGCGUAAAGCGCACGCAGGCGGUCUGUCAAGUCGGAUGUGAAAUCCCCGGGCUCAACCUGGGAACUGCAUUCGAAACUGGCAGGCUAGAGUCUUGUAGAGGGGGGUAGAAUUCCAGGUGUAGCGGUGAAAUGCGUAGAGAUCUGGAGGAAUACCGGUGGCGAAGGCGGCCCCCUGGACAAAGACUGACGCUCAGGUGCGAAAGCGUGGGGAGCAAACAGGAUUAGAAACCCUGGUAGUCCCAUG
RNAcentral lists this ribosomal RNA (478 nucleotides) under uncultured organism. Its description in RNAcentral is "partial 16S ribosomal RNA". It matches the Rfam family "Bacterial small subunit ribosomal RNA", at positions 330 to 799 of the family's 1533-position model. The record is from RNAcentral.